RNAcentral lists this long non-coding RNA (648 nucleotides) under Vigna radiata. RNAcentral describes it as "long non-coding RNA (VRAD_LNC017780)". The record is from RNAcentral. Lineage: Eukaryota; Viridiplantae; Streptophyta; Magnoliopsida; Fabales; Fabaceae.
GGGUCAGGAAUCCAAUAAAUCAGUCAGCAACACUCAACCAAAAUGCCAAAGUUUUGAAAACCAAUUUAGUUUACAACAAAAACAUGUUAUCCACUGUAUUGGAAGUCGAAAAUAACAAUGCACAACAAGAAAUGCAAAAUUAAGCCAGUAAGAGUGAAAAGAAAAAUAAAAUAGCUAGCAUAUUUCAUCCUUUUCCCACUUAAAUUGAUUGACAGUGGGUACUCAUUUCCAAUAUAAUGACUGCACCAUGUUAAACUAUUCCAAUGAAAGGGUGAGGCACGUUAAAAAUAAAUAAAUACAAGAGUUGUGAAAACCUAGCUAGAAACUAUUCAAUUCUAUUGAAAGAAAUUGUAAAAUCUAGCUAGAAACUAUAAACUCAAAUUAGAAACUCAAAAAAUCAUUCACAAUCAAGAACUAAAAUUAGUAGACAAGUAAUCAUGCAAAAUCUGUAAAACUCAACUAAGAAAAUCAAUGUAUCGACCUAAACAAGUUUGAAACUAUAAAAGAAAGUUAAGAAAAGAGGAUAGAAACUCACUAUCUAAAAACAUCAAAUAACUAAGAAUCUCACUGUCAAAUCUGAAACAGAAUACUAAAACAGGAUAGAAACUAAAACUAUUCUUAAAACAGUAAAGAUAUCCUACUUAACAU